RNAcentral lists this ribosomal RNA (963 nucleotides) under Athene brama. RNAcentral describes it as "12S ribosomal RNA". It matches the Rfam family "Bacterial small subunit ribosomal RNA". Lineage: Eukaryota; Metazoa; Chordata; Aves; Strigiformes; Strigidae. The record is from RNAcentral.
AAAGACUUAGUCCUGACCUUACCGUUAGUUCUUGCCAAGCAUAUACAUGCAAGUAUCAGCGCCCCAGUGUAAAUGCCCUAACCCUCUUAAUAAGAAGACAGGAGCAGGCAUCAGGCACACCCACGAAGUAGCCCAAAACGCCUUGCCCAGCCACACCCCCACGGGUACUCAGCAGUAAUUAACAUUAAGCAAUAAGCGCAAGCUUGACUUAGCUAUGGCAACACCUAGGGUUGGUAAAUCUUGUGCCAGCCACCGCGGUCACACAAGAGACCCAAACUAACUGUCCACGGCGUAAAGAGUGGCACCCCACUAUCCCGUAACUAGGCUCAAAAUGUAACUAAGCCGUCAUAAGCCCAAGAUACACCAAAGCCCACCCUAAAGAUGACCCUAGAACACACGAUCGACUGCACCCCACGAAAGCCAGGGUCCAAACUGGGAUUAGAUACCCCACUAUGCCUGGCCCUAAAUCCUGAUGUUUAUAAUAACCAAAACAUCCGCCUGAGUACUACGAGCACAAACGCUUGAAACUCUAAGGACUUGGCGGUGCCCCAAACCCACCUAGAGGAGCCUGUCCUAUAAUCGAUACCCCACGAUCCACCCGACCACCCCUCGCACACAGCCUACAUACCGCCGUCGCCAGCCCACCUCUUGAGGGCACAAUAGUGGGCGCAAGAGCAAAUCCGCUAGCAAGACAGGUCAAGGUAUAGCCUAUGGGGUGGAAGAGAUGGGCUACACUCUCUAAACUAGAGAAUCUAACGGACGGAGGCAUGAAACUGCCCCCUAAAGGCGGAUUUAGUAGUAAAGGCGGCCCCAUGAAACCGCCUUUAAAAAGGCCCUGGGGUACGUACAUACCGCCCGUCACCCUCAUCACAAGCCACUUUCACUCAUAACUAAUACAAACACAGGCUAGAGAUGAGGUAAGUCGUAACAAGGUAAGUGUACCGGAAGGUGCACUUAGCAUAC